This 331-nucleotide unclassified non-coding RNA is filed under the name soil metagenome. Its description in RNAcentral is "partial contains 5.8S ribosomal RNA, internal transcribed spacer 2, and large subunit ribosomal RNA". The stretch from base 1 to 120 matches the Rfam family "5.8S ribosomal RNA", at positions 35 to 154 of the family's 154-position model. The record is from RNAcentral.
GAUGAAGAACGUAGUAAAAUGCGAUAAGUAAUGUGAAUUGCAGAAUUCAGUGAAUCAUCGAAUCUUUGAACGCACAUUGCGCCCGCCAGUAUUCUGGCGGGCAUGCCUGUUCGAGCGUCAUUUCAACCCUCAAGCACAGCUUGGUGUUGGGACUCGCGUUAAUUCGCGUUCCUCAAAUUGAUUGGCGGUCACGUCGAGCUUCCAUAGCGUAGUAGUAAAACCCUCGUUACUGGUAAUCGUCGCGGCCACGCCGUUAAACCCCAACUUCUGAAUGUUGACCUCGGAUCAGGUAGGAAUACCCGCUGAACUUAAGCAUAUCAAAAGCGGAGGA